Long non-coding RNA from Eriocheir sinensis (Chinese mitten crab), 2198 nucleotides. RefSeq lists it as uncharacterized. The transcript has 2 exons. NCBI's taxonomy places the organism in Eukaryota, Metazoa, Arthropoda, Malacostraca, Decapoda, Varunidae. The record is from RefSeq and is a predicted model, not a curated record.
CUUCUUGGAGCGUGGGAACCAACUUGUCAAAUGGAAAAGUCGCUGGGUUGUCGUGGCCCAGAGUCGGCGCAGUGUGAACGGGGCUUUAGGGUAGGUUAGGUGGUUAUGUUGGGUUAGGGUAGGUUACGUUGGAUUAGGUUAACUUAGCUUGGGUUAGGGUAGGUUACGUUGGAUUAGGUUAACUUAGCUUGGGUUAGGGUAGGUUACGUUGGAUUAGGUUAACUUAGCUUGGGUUAGGGUAGGUUACGUUGGAUUAGGUUGCGUUAAGGUUACGUUGGAUUAGGUUAGGUUGGGUUAGGGUAGGUUACAUUGGAUUAGGCUGCCUUAGGGUUACGUUGGAUUAGCACUUUAACACUAUAACUUUACAUUCCUCCUUUGCUAUAUAGUGCCACCAUACACACACACAUAGAAACAUAACAGCUUGCGGGAAGAGGUGGUGAAUGCGAGCAGUGUCCAAUAAAUGAAGGAAAGGCUGGAUAAAUGUAGUUAUGGAGACGGGACUAGAGUUUAUUUCGGGCCCGGUAGACUUCAAACAGGUAAAUACAAAUAGGUAAACACAUGCAUACCAAACAUAGGAGAACCUCUAAUACAUCUAACAUUCCCUGCUCACCUGUUAAUUAAUCCCAUACCUUAGACUGGUCACAUUUUGCUUUAUUAUCAUUAGCUCUACCAUCAUCAUCAUCAUCAUCAUCACCAUCAUCAUCAGCCCUGCAGCCAGCAAUAACUCUUCCAAUUAAUCACAGCUCCCAUUUUCUUUUUUUUUUUCUUUUUUCUUUUUCUUCAUCCACAUAAAGAUAAUCUGAAGAUGAUGGGCGUGUCAUCUUCUUGUUAUCCCUGUUUGUCUUUGUCAUUAUCUCUCUCUCUCUCUCUCUCUCUCUCUCUCUCUCUCUCUCUCUCUCUCUCUCUCUCUCUCUCUCUCUCUCUCUCUCUCUCUCUCUCUCUCAUCUCUUCUAUCUUUUCCUUUCAUCUUUUCCUCAUAAAUCAAAGGCAAUUUUCUUCUCUCCUACUUAUCAUUUUCUAUUCAUCUUUUUUUUUUUUGUCCCUUCCAUCCAAUCAUCUUUCCUACUCAAAUCAAACCCAUUUUCUGUUUUUUUUACUUCAUUCUUUUCUUUCUUUUUACUUUUACUACUCAAAUCAAACCACUUUUUUUUUCUUUUUACUUCAUUCUUCCUUUUCUUUCUUUUUUUCUUCCUUUUCUUUCUCUUUUUCUUCCUUUCUACAUCAUUCUUCCUUUUCUUUCUCUUUUUCUUCCUUUCUACUUCAUUCUUCCUUUUCUUUCUCUUUUUCUUCCUUUCUACUUCAUUCUUCCUUUUCUUUCUCUUUCUUCUUCAUUCUUCCUUUUCUUUCUCUUUUUCUUCUUUUCUACUUCAUUCUUCCUUUUCUUUCUCUUUCUUUCUUUCUUCAUUCUUCCUUUUCUUUCUCUUUUUCUUCCUUUCUACUUCAUUCUUCCUUUUCUUUCUUUUUUCUUUCUUUCUACUUCAUUCUUCCUUUUCUUUCUUUUUUCUUUCUUUCUACUUCAUUCUUUCUUUUCUUUUUUCUUUCUUUCUACUUCCUUUUCCCUUUUUUAUUUUUUAUUCCUUUUUUUGUGUUUAAUUUUGCAUUUGAGUAACUUUUUUAUCUUUUUAUUUCAUUUUCUUUUGUUUUCUUCUUUUUCUCAUUUAUUCUUUCUUUGUGCUUAAUUUCGCAUUUAUUAGUGACUUUUUUUAUUUUGCUAUUGUUUUUUUCCUCUUUAUUUCAACAUUUUUCAUUUUUACAUUUUAUUUUGAGCGUACAAUUUUACUUUCUUUCUAAUUAAUUCUUUCUUUUCUUUAUAUUAUUUUACUUUUUUCAUCUUAAGUUUUACAUUUUAUUUUGCAUGUAUGAGUUUGCUUUCUUUCUUCUUCAUUCUUCCUUUUAUUUCAUUUCUUUUUACUUUUCUAUUUUUAUUCUUUAUUUUUGCUCUAUUUUUCAUCUAUGAGUAUUUUUUCUUUAUUUCAUUCUUUUUAUUCACUUUUUUUCUUUUUUCUUUUGUUUGUUUGAGUAACUUAAGGUUGCUUUCUUUGAUUAUUGUUGUCGGUUUUCCUUCCAUCUAUUCAUUUUACGGGUAUUUGAUUCAUAUGAGGAGGACAAAUGAUACUAAUUUUUCUCUCUCUCUCUCUCUCUCUCUCUCUCUCUCUCUCUCUCUCUCUCUCUCUCUCUCUCUCUCUCUCUCUCUCUCU